This is an RNA transcript of Corythoichthys intestinalis (scribbled pipefish), 2389 nucleotides long. It is a transcript of the gene named alanine aminotransferase 2-like, with no coding region annotated. The record is from RefSeq and is a predicted model, not a curated record. The transcript has 12 exons. NCBI's taxonomy places the organism in Eukaryota, Metazoa, Chordata, Actinopteri, Syngnathiformes, Syngnathidae.
AUACACUUGCUUGAAAGCGAUGCCAUGUGUGCAGAGUCAAAUACAACUCCCCCCCCCUUUUUUUUCCCAAAAAAGAAAAAAAAUCCACACGGUGGAUGCUUGGGAACAUCUCGGAGAUUCUCUUUUUAACCAGUUUGGACUUUCACCCGAUUGAAGUCCAUAAGGGACUUUCGGUCAAAGUGGCGGCUGCACUUGCUCUGCUUAUCGUUGAAAACUUGACUAAAACUUAUCAAGAACAUGGCAGCAGCGACGAUAGGGAGGCUGUCAACCGGCAGAGUUGUCCGCUUCAGUUUGACUGGAAGUCGGGCUGAAGCGUUAGCCGCUAGCGGUGUCGGCGUACCAACGGUGCGUUCACUGACCUCUUCCCCUCUGUCCGUCAGAGCUAUGUCCGGCCUGAGUGCCACGCGCUGCGGGCUACCCAAGGAGAGCGUGGCCGAGAAUGGAGCCUCGCCUCGGGGCAAGGUGCUGACCAUCGACACCAUGAACCCAACGGUGAAGAUGGUGGAGUACGCCGUGCGGGGGCCUAUCGUGCAGCGUGCUGUGGAGUUGGAGAAGGAGCUCUCCGAGGGGAGGAAGAAGCCAUUCCAGGAGGUCAUCAAAGCCAACAUUGGUGAUGCGCAUGCCAUGGGCCAGCAGCCAAUCACCUUUUUUCGGCAGGUUUUGGCACUGUGCUCAUACCCUGAGCUGCUCAAUGACAGUACGUUCCCAGAGGAUGCCAAAAGUAGAGCACGCCGCAUCCUGCAGUCCUGUGGCGGCAACAGUAUGGGGGCCUACAGUGCCAGUCAAGGCAUCGACUGUGUGAGGCAGGACGUGGCUCGCUAUGUUCAACAGAGGGAUGGCGGUGUAUACUGCGACCCGGAUGAUAUUUACCUCACAACUGGGGCCAGCGACGGCAUAGUGACAAUGCUCAAGCUGCUGGUGUGUGGCGAGGGCGCCAACCGCACCGGCGUCAUGAUCUCCAUCCCGCAGUACCCUCUGUACUCGGCGGCGUUGGCAGAACUGGGCGCCGUGCAGAUCAACUACUACCUCAAUGAGGAAGCGUGCUGGAGCUUGGACAUCAGCGAGCUGCAGCGGGCUCUGGACGAAGCCCGAAGCCAUUGCAACCCCAGAGCCUUGUGCAUCAUCAAUCCUGGGAACCCCACAGGCCAAGUUCAGAACAGGAAGUGCAUUGAGGACGUCAUCCGAUUUGCCGCCAAGGAACGUUUGUUCCUCAUGGCAGACGAGGUGUACCAAGAUAACGUGUACGCCGAUGGGUGCCAGUUCCACUCUUUCAAGAAAGUGCUGUUUGAAAUGGGGCCCGAAUACUCCAACACAGUAGAGCUGGCCUCUUUCCACUCCACGUCAAAGUGCUACAUGGGAGAGUGUGGUUUCCGCGGCGGCUACAUGGAGAUCAUCAACAUGGAUGAUGAUGUGAAGGCUCAGCUGACGAAGUUGGUGUCUGUUCGCCUAUGCCCGCCCGUUCCCGGUCAGGCGUUGAUGGACUUAGUGGUCAACCCCCCACAGCCCGGAGAGCCGUCGUAUGACAAAUUCAUGAAGGAGCGCACAGACACUUUAAGUGCCUUAGCAGACAAGGCCAAACUGACAGAAGAGGUGCUUAACACCGUGCCUGGCAUCAGUUGCAAUCCUGUGCAGGGCGCCAUGUACUCAUUCCCUCGUAUUAGCAUUCCAGAAAAGGCUGUCAAGGAGGCUAGCGAAAAAGGACAACAGCCCGACAUGUUCUACUGCAUGAAGCUGCUGGAGGAGACAGGGAUUUGCCUGGUUCCUGGUAGUGGUUUUGGGCAGAAGGACAGAACCUACCACUUCAGGUUUGACAGUUGCCGUCAGAGUUUCAGGAUCAAAGCGCCAACCCACCCGUAAUCUUUUUUGUCGGAACGGCGUUCCGGCCCACUUUCACCCCUGGCUAUAUGAGAAGCAAGCACAGGCAACACAGAUUUUGUCCUCAACGUGGGGUUUCUGCCAUUUAAAAAACGGAUGACCAUCCUGCCUCCCGCCGAUAAACUGAAGAUCCUCCUAAGCAAAGUGAAGGAAUUCCACCAGAGGUUCACCAAGCAGUACUCCUAAACCCCCUCAGUUACUGUCACAAGCGCUCAGUGAAGAAUUUAUGCCAAAAUCACAAACCUGGUGUUUUUUUUAAAGUGCCUUCACGUCAACACUUCUUUCUAUCACCUUGUGGACGUUCGCACACGUUUAAACAAAGGCACUCAAAAUGAAGUUGCAUUGAAAUUUGUUGUACAGUGUGGAUGGUGAGUAUGGAAGACUUUGUGCCAAGUUUUUUUUUUUAAUUAAAACAAUAAUUAAUGCUGCUUAAAGAAACAAAACAUGAAGGGAUGGCCGUACUUGACUUGAAGUUGUAUUUGCAUGACCAAAAUAAAUGUCAUUCUCCAGCGUA